Molecule: long non-coding RNA, 167 nt
Organism: Sapajus apella (tufted capuchin)
Lineage: Eukaryota; Metazoa; Chordata; Mammalia; Primates; Cebidae
Exons: 2
Source: RefSeq, a predicted model, not a curated record
CCUAGGCUGGGCCUCAGCGUAAUCCUAUUGAGCAUGAUUUUUAAGUCAUCACCUCUCUUCAGGAUAAUAUAAGGUUCUCAUCAUUGACCCAACCUAGAGCACCCCUCACCCCAAGCAUGGAUCCAGUGGGACCCAGCGUCGUCUUCCAAAAUUCUCCCCUCGGCUGG